Molecule: long non-coding RNA, 397 nt
Organism: Sapajus apella (tufted capuchin)
Lineage: Eukaryota; Metazoa; Chordata; Mammalia; Primates; Cebidae
Exons: 3
Source: RefSeq, a predicted model, not a curated record
ACAGCCAGUUGUUUAUUUAAAAAUUCCACUUGGUUUAAUAUUGUUAGAGAAUACAUGUCAGACAGGUGUGGAGAAUUGAGCAUAAACUAGGUUUGUGCCUACUGUGCUGCCGUAGAAGGGUUUUGUACAGGGUCGCGGUGCACCUAUGUUUAUUUUGAUUGUGAUUUUGAGGGUGGUAGAUUCCAUGAGGUUGGAGUUCAUAGUGUUUGGAAGGCUUUUGCAAUGAACUGGGUGAAAGUUUUAAGACAGUAGUAAAGUUGACCCUUGAACAACAUGGGUCUGAACCGCGUGGAUCCACUUAUUGCAUGGCUUUUUUCCAGUAAAUAUAUUUGAAAACUUUGUGGAGAUUUGACAAGAUUCACAGAUGGAACUGCAUAGCCUCAAAAUAACAAACAAA